RNAcentral lists this ribosomal RNA (253 nucleotides) under uncultured bacterium. RNAcentral's name for it is "partial 16S ribosomal RNA". It matches the Rfam family "Bacterial small subunit ribosomal RNA", at positions 524 to 776 of the family's 1533-position model. The record is from RNAcentral.
UACGUAGGGUGCAAGCGUUAUCCGGAUUUAUUGGGCGUAAAGGGCUCGUAGGCGGUUCGUCGCGUCCGGUGUGAAAGUCCAUCGCUUAACGGUGGAUCCGCGCCGGGUACGGGCGGGCUUGAGUGCGGUAGGGGAGACCGGAAUUCCCGGUGUAACGGUGGAAUGUGUAGAUAUCGGGAAGAACACCAAUGGCGAAGGCAGGUCUCUGGGCCGUUACUGACGCUGAGGAGCGAAAGCGUGGGGAGCGAACAGG